CGGUAAUACGAAGGGGGCUAGCGUUGUUCGGAAUUACUGGGCGUAAAGCGCACGUAGGGAUAUUUAAGUCAGGGGUGAAAUCCCGCAGCUCAACUGCGGAACUGCCUUUGAUACUGGGUAUCUUGAGUAUGGAAGAGGUAAGUGGAAUUCCGAGUGUAGAGGUGAAAUUCGUAGAUAUUCGGAGGAACACCAGUGGCGAAGGCGGCUUACUGGUCCAUUACUGACGCUGAGGUGCGAAAGCGUGGGGAGCGAAUGGGAUUAGAUACCCGUG
RNAcentral lists this ribosomal RNA (271 nucleotides) under uncultured Rhizobium/Agrobacterium group bacterium. RNAcentral's name for it is "partial 16S ribosomal RNA". It matches the Rfam family "Bacterial small subunit ribosomal RNA", at positions 518 to 790 of the family's 1533-position model. Lineage: Bacteria; Pseudomonadati; Pseudomonadota; Alphaproteobacteria; Hyphomicrobiales; Rhizobiaceae. The record is from RNAcentral.